RNAcentral lists this ribosomal RNA (1830 nucleotides) under Triticum aestivum (bread wheat). RNAcentral describes it as "partial small subunit ribosomal RNA". Lineage: Eukaryota; Viridiplantae; Streptophyta; Magnoliopsida; Poales; Poaceae. The record is from RNAcentral.
AUGUCCCGCCGUCUCUCCCUCCUCCUCGUCUUCUCCAUCCUCUUCCCCGCCACGCUCCUCGCCCAACCCCCAACGCCGCCGCAGCAGUGCCCGCUGAACUUCACCGCCCUGCGCCCCUUCCUCGCCCCGCCGCUCCCCUCCGACGACGCCUCCCGCUGCGCCUUCGCGCUCCAGUCCGUCCGGCUCCUCCUCUCCCUCCACCUCGCCGCCACCGGGUCCUUCCUCAUCCCCUCCUCCUCCUCCUGCCUCCCGCCGCUCCGCGACGCGCUCCCCUUUCCGCUCCCUCCGCCCGAUGCCUGCGGCCUCGCGGGCAUCGACGCGCUCCUCUCCGCUCCUGGAUGCGCCAACAUCUCCACGCGAGCGGAUUUCGAUGCCCGAGUGCCUGCCUCCGCCCGCAGGGACAUCAACGCCAGCUGCUACCGCGAGCUCGGCGCCGUUCCGGUCUGCACCACCUGCACGACCUCGCUCAGCAAGACGGCCGCAGCCUACCUCCUACCUGGAUCCCCCGACGGCGGAAACAAUGUCACCGGCUGCGUCCAGUACCCCUUCAUAUACACCGGCGCCGCGGCCAGCCUACGCGGCCCCGACGACCCGGACACAGCGGACUGCCUGUACCUCCUUAAGGCCAACUCUCAACCCUCCAAAGGGUCCGGCGCCCCUGCCUGGCUCUACGGCGUCGUCUUCGGAUGUGUCGCCUUUGUACUGCUAGUUGCUGCCGCUGCUGGUUCGUGCUUCUUCGUGUGGCGACGCCGGAGGCGGGCUGCCGCUACCGCACUAGCCGCUGACAGCAGGAGCAAGCGCUCGCAUGCAAUGGAGUCCAUCACCGCCAGCACCACCCUGCUCAAGUUCACCUACGACGACAUCAAGAUGGCCACGGGGAGCUUCGCUAGAGACAGCAUCAUCGGCCGCGGUGGUUUCGGGAAUGUGUACAAGGGGGUGCUCCCCGAUGGCGCAGAGGUGGCAGUGAAGCGUUUCAAGAACUGCUCGGCGGCCGGGGAUGCGGCGUUCGCACAUGAGGUGGAGGUGGUGGCCAGCGUGCGCCAUGUCAACCUGGUCGCGCUCCGUGGGUACUGUAUCGCCGCCACGCAGAGAGAGGGGCACCAGCGGAUGAUUGUGUGCGACCUCAUGCAUAAUGGCAGCCUCCACGACCACCUCUUCGGCGCCGGGGAGUGCCUGAUGGCGUGGCCAGUGAGGCAGAGGAUUGCCAUUGGAAUGGCACGGGGGCUGUCCUACCUGCACCGUGGCACACAGCCAGCCAUCAUUCACAGGGAUAUCAAGGCAAGCAACAUUUUGCUUGAUGACGAUUUUGAGGCGAAGGUGGCCGAUUUUGGAUUGGCCAAGUUUGCGCCAGAAGGGAUGACACAUGUGAGCACACGGGUUGCUGGCACAAUGGGCUAUGUCGCUCCAGAGUAUGCCCUCUAUGGCCAGUUAACUGAGAAGAGUGAUGUCUACAGCUUCGGAGUUGUGCUUCUUGAGCUUAUGAGUGGGAAGAGAGCAUUCAUGUCUCUCAGUGAGGGAGAGAGCUUCGUGCUUGCUGAUUGGGCUUGGUCAUUGGUGCGGAGGGGAAAGACGCUGGAUGUGAUCCAGGAAGGAAUGGCUGAACCUGGUCCUACUAAGGUCAUGGAGAAGUAUGUGCUUGUCGCAGCACUCUGCACACAUCCGCAGCUGCAUGCCAGGCCAACGAUGGAGCAAGUGGUGAAGAUACUAGAAGCAGAUUCAGCACCAGGGCCUUUAAUCAUUCCGGACAGGCCUCUCCCUGUUGUUGCAAACCUGGCCGAUAUUGAGAGGUCAGUGAGCAGCAGCACCGGCUCAGGCAGCUAUUGUAGAUGA